This 542-nucleotide ribosomal RNA is filed under the name uncultured bacterium. Its description in RNAcentral is "partial 16S ribosomal RNA". The record is from RNAcentral.
GUAGUUAGCCGGGGCUUUCUUACAGGGUACCGUCACUUCUUCGUCCCCUGCGACAGAGGUUUACAAUCCGAAAACCUUCUUCCCUCACGCGGCGUUGCUGGGUCAGGCUUGCGCCCAUUGCCCAAUAUUCCCCACUGCUGCCUCCCGUAGGAGUCUGGACCGUGUCUCAGUUCCAGUGUGGCCGAUCAGCCUCUCAGCUCGGCUACCCAUCGUCGGCUUGGUGGGCUGUUAUCUCACCAACUACCUAAUGGGACGCGAACCCCUCUAAAAGCGAUAAAUCUUUGACCUCUUCCCGAUGCCGGGUUGUGGUCUUAUGCGGUAUUAGCAGUUGUUUCCACCUGUUAUUCCCCACUCUUAGGCAGGUUGUUCACGCGUUACUCACCCGUGCGCCACUAGAAUUAUCAAUUCCAUCCGAAAACUUCCUUAAUAAUCCCCGUUCGACUUGCAUGUGUUAGGCACGCCGCCAGCGUUCGUCCUGAGCCAGAGUACAACUAACUACGUACGUACGUAGACGGGCGGUCGGUCGAACGGACGGCGACUAG